CCUACGUGGUGCAGCAGUGGGGGAUAUUGCACAAUGGGGGAAACCCUGAUGCAGCGACGCCGCGUGUGGGAAGACGGUCCUCUGGAUUGUAAACCACUGUCCCCAGGGCCGAAGAUGACGGUACCUGGGGAGGAAGCUCCGGCUAACUACGUGCCAGCAGCCGCGGUAAUACGUAGGGAGCGAGCGUUGUCCGGAAUUACUGGGUGUAAAGGGAGCGUAGGCGGGACUGCAAGUUGGGUGUCAAAUCUACCGGCUCAACCGGUAGCCGCACUCAAAACUGCAGUUCUUGAGUGAAGUAGAGGCAGGCGGAAUUCCUAGUGUAGCGGUGAAAUGCGUAGAUAGUAGGAGGAACACCAGUGGCGAAGGCGGCCUGCUGGGCUUUUACUGACGCUGAGGCACGAAGGCCAGGGGAGCGAAAGGGAUUAGAUACCCCUGUAGUC
Molecule: ribosomal RNA, 440 nt
Filed under: uncultured bacterium
Lineage: Bacteria
Description: partial 16S ribosomal RNA
Rfam family: Bacterial small subunit ribosomal RNA
Source: RNAcentral